RNAcentral lists this ribosomal RNA (497 nucleotides) under uncultured bacterium. Its description in RNAcentral is "partial 16S ribosomal RNA". It matches the Rfam family "Bacterial small subunit ribosomal RNA", at positions 28 to 507 of the family's 1533-position model. The record is from RNAcentral.
GAUGAACGCUGGCGGCGUGCCUAAUACAUGCAAGUCGAGCGAACGGACGAGAAGCUUGCCUCUCUGAUGUUAGCGGCGGACGGGUGAGUAACACGUGGAUAACCUACCUAUAAGACUGGGAUAACUUCGGGAAACCGGAGCUAAUACCGGAUAAUAUUUUGAACCGCAUGGUUCAAAAGUGAAAGACGGUCUUGCUGUCACUUAUAGAUGGAUCAGCGCUGCAUUAGCUAGUUGGUAAGGUAACGGCUUACCAAGGCAACGAUGCAUAGCCGACCUGAGAGGGUGAUCGGCCACACUGGAACUGAGACACGGUCCAGACUCCUACGGGAGGCAGCAGUAGGGAAUCUUCCGCAAUGGGCGAAAGCCUGACGGAGCAACGCCGCGUGAGCGAUGAAGGUCUUCGGAUCGUAAAACUCUGUUAUUAGGGAAGAACAUAUGUGUAAGUAACUGUGCACAUCUUGACGGUACCUAAUCAGAAAGCCACGGCUAACUACGUG